AGUGAACGCUGGCGGUAGGCCUAACACAUGCAAGUCGAACGGCAGCACAGUAAGAGCUUGCUCUUACGGGUGGCGAGUGGCGGACGGGUGAGGAAUACAUCGGAAUCUACUUUUUCGUGGGGGAUAACGUAGGGAAACUUACGCUAAUACCGCAUACGACCUACGGGUGAAAGCAGGGGAUCUUCGGACCUUGCGCGAUUGAAUGAGCCGAUGUCGGAUUAGCUAGUUGGCGGGGUAAAGGCCCACCAAGGCGACGAUCCGUAGCUGGUCUGAGAGGAUGAUCAGCCACACUGGAACUGAGACACUGUCCAGACUCCUACGGGAGGCAGCAGUGGGGAAUAUUGGACAGUGGGCGCAAGCCUGAUCCAGCCAUACCGCGUGGGUGAAGAAGGCCUUCGGGUUGUAAAGCCCUUUUGUUGGGAAAGAAAAGCAGCAGGUUAAUACCCCGCUGUUCUGACGGUACCCAAAGAAUAAGCACCGGCUAACUUCGUG
RNAcentral lists this ribosomal RNA (492 nucleotides) under uncultured bacterium. RNAcentral's name for it is "partial 16S ribosomal RNA". It matches the Rfam family "Bacterial small subunit ribosomal RNA", at positions 29 to 507 of the family's 1533-position model. The record is from RNAcentral.